Molecule: non-coding RNA, 75 nt
Organism: Picea glauca (white spruce)
Lineage: Eukaryota; Viridiplantae; Streptophyta; Pinopsida; Pinales; Pinaceae
Source: Rfam
GGCUAUGUAGCUCAGAUUGGUUAGAGCACAGCACUCAUAACGCUGGGGUCAUGGGUUCAAGUCCCAUCAUAGCCA